RNAcentral lists this long non-coding RNA (4201 nucleotides) under Citrus maxima (pomelo). RNAcentral describes it as "long non-coding RNA (CMAX_LNC002651)". Lineage: Eukaryota; Viridiplantae; Streptophyta; Magnoliopsida; Sapindales; Rutaceae. The record is from RNAcentral.
GAUAAUAAAAAGCACAGGCAAAUCACACAGUUUAUCCACUAACCCACUAACAGUAAAUGUUUUAUCACUAAAGAAUUCCAAUCAAAUCAUGCAAAUGUAAGUGUCGCUAAUAUAAUGAUUAGUUCAUGGAAGUGUAUAAUCGCUACUACAAAAGAGAGAUAACCUUAUCACGUGAAUUUCGAUGUUUCUUGUCAUUCCUCUCAUGAUUAUCAUUCUUGAGUUCAGAUUCAUCGUCAGGCAAUAAAGAAUCCACGAGGUCUUCGCCAAAAUCAUCCACAGCAUCGCCACCUUGACUAUAACCAGGGCCAUUCUCCCUCCUCUUAUCGCGCCCCAAAUGCCUUUCUCGUGGCAUUUGGGUAGUAGGGGAAGAUAAGCCCCUAGGACCAAAAUCCAUAGGAGCCCUCCUUGAUGAAGAAUUCAUGCUUGGACCUCUGGCGAGCCUACUAGCUUGUGCUUGCCGUUCUUGAGCAGCAUCUCUGUGCACUUCCUCGAUCUUUUUCGGCCCUUCAACUUUCCUCGUCUGCUGCCAUUUAUUCUUUCUCAACUCAAUUGAAUCCUUCAACAUAAGCCUAACCCUAGAAGAUAGUUUCAUGUUGUUUGACAACUUUUCCAUUCUGUCAAAAUAAGCAUCCAUAUGCUCUUUGGCCUUGGGGUGAUCGAUCAUCUCUCCUAUUGUGCUCAUUAAUAUACACAACGCCUCAACAUCCUCCUCGUCAGGAUUCUCAUACUGGCCCAGCAACUUCUUGAUGCAUUCAUGCAUUAUUCUCUCAGUCAACAUUUUCUUCUUGUACAACUCACCAAUUAGUCUAAUGUUGCCUAGCAUUCGUCUUCGAGCCUUGAUUCUCUUCUCUUCUCUUUCUUCCUCGGUCUGCUUAAUCUCCCCCUCUUUAUCAGCUUUGUUAGCUUCUUCUUGCUCUCUCUCUCCUCUCUCAAAUUCCUCUUGGCAUUUGUUCAGAAGCAGUCUCUUGAAAGUAAUUUUUUCAUUGUCUUCACUGAAAUCAGGUAACUUUCCAGCAAGAAAAUAAAAGAAGUUUGCAUACAUCUCACAGAAAGUAGGCUCCAUUAAAGCUUUGUCAAAAAUUUGAGAGACCACACGAGUGAGUGUAACAGCAUUGUCGAUGUUUACUGCUUUUACUUGCUCAAAGAGUUUCUUGAAGUUUGGAGCAUUUAGUCUUCCUAUGUCACCACGACAUUCAAUAUGCAAUUUUAAGUUUCUCAUCCUCUUGCUAAGCCGUCUUUUCCCUCUGUUAUCUGAUCUGAUUUCCUGAUAAUAAAAAGCACAGGCAAAUCACACAGUUUAUCCACUAACCCACUAACAGUAAAUGUUUUAUCACUAAAGAAUUCCAAUCAAAUCAUGUAAAUGUAAGUGUCGCUAAUAUAAUGAUUAGUUCAUGGAAGUGUAUAAUCGCUACUACAAAAGAGAGAUAACCUUAUCACGUGAAUUUCGAUGUUUCUUGUCAUUCCUCUCAUGAUUAUCAUUCUUGAGUUCAGAUUCAUCGUCAGGCAAUAAAGAAUCCACGAGGUCUUCGCCAAAAUCAUCCACAUCAUCGCCACCUUGAUUAUAACCAGGGCCAUUCUCCCUCCUCUUAUCGCGCCCCAAAUGCCUUUCUCGUGGCAUUUGGGUAGUAGGGGAAGAUAAGCCCCUAGGACCAAAAUCCAUAGGAGCCCUCCUUGAUGAAGAAUUCAUGCUUGGACCUCUGGCGAGCCUACUAGCUUGUGCUUGCCGUUCUUGAGCAGCAUCUCUGUGCACUUCCUCGAUCUUUUUCGGCCCUUCAACUUUCCUCGUCUGCUGCCAUUUAUUCUUUCUCAACUCAAUUGAAUCCUUCAACAUAAGCCUAACCCUAGAAGAUAGUUUCAUGUUGUUUGACAACUUUUCCAUUCUGUCAAAAUAAGCAUCCAUAUGCUCUUUGGCCUUGGGGUGAUCGAUCAUCUCUCCUAUUGUGCUCAUUAAUAUACACAACGCCUCAACAUCCUCCUCGUCAGGAUUCUCAUACUGGCCCAGCAACUUCUUGAUGCAUUCAUGCAUUAUUCUCUCAGUCAACAUUUUCUUCUUGUACAACUCACCAAUUAGUCUAAUGUUGCCUAGCCAUCGUCUUCGAGCCUUGAUUCUCUUCUCUUCUCUUUCUUCCUCGGUCUGCUUAAUCUCCCCCUCUUUAUCAGCUUUGUUAGCUUCUUCUUGCUCUCUCUCUCCUCUCUCAAAUUCCUCUUGGCAUUUGUUCAGAAGCAGUCUCUUGAAAGUAAUUUUUUCAUUGUCUUCACUGAAAUCAGGUAACUUUCCAGCAAGAAAAUAAAAGAAGUUUGCAUACAUCUCACAGAAAGUAGGCUCCAUUAAAGCUUUGUCAAAAAUUUGAGAGAUCACACCAGCGAGUGUAACAGCAUUGUCGAUGUUUACUGCUUUUACUUGCUCAAAGAAUUUCUUGAAGUUUGGAGCAUUUAGUCUUCCUAUGUCACCACGACAUUCAAUAUGCCAUUUUAAGUUUCUCAUCCUCUUGCUAAGCCGUCUUUUCCCUCUGUUAUCUGAUCUGAUUUCCUGAUAAUAAAAAGCACAGGCAAAUCACACAGUUUAUCCACUAACCCACUAACAGUAAAUGUUUUAUCACUAAAGAAUUCCAAUCAAAUCAUGCAAAUGUAAGUGUCGCUAAUAUAAUGAUUAGUUCAUGGAAGUGUAUAAUCACUACUACAGAAGAGAGAUAACCUUAUCACGUGAAUUUCGAUGUUUCUUGUCAUUCCUCUCAUGAUUAUCAUUCUUGAGUUCAGAUUCAUCGUCAGGCAAUAAAGAAUCCACGAGGUCUUCGCCAAAAUCAUCCACAUCAUCGCCACCUUGAUUAUAACCAGGGCCAUUCUCCCUCCUCUUAUCGCGCCCCAAAUGCCUUUCUCGUGGCAUUUGGGUAGUAGGGGAAGAUAAGCCCCUAGGACCAAAAUCCAUAGGAGCCCUCCUUGAUGAAGAAUUCAUGCUUGGACCUCUGGCGAGCCUACUAGCUUGUGCUUGCCGUUCUUGAGCAGCAUCUCUGUGCACUUCCUCGAUCUUUUUCGGCCCUUCAACUUUCCUCGUCUGCUGCCAUUUAUUCUUUCUCAACUCAAUUGAAUCCUUCAACAUAAGCCUAACCCUAGAAGAUAGUUUCAUGUUGUUUGACAACUUUUCCAUUCUGUCAAAAUAAGCAUCCAUAUGCUCUUUGGCCUUGGGGUGAUCGAUCAUCUCUCCUAUUGUGCUCAUUAAUAUACACAACGCCUCAACAUCCUCCUCGUCAGGAUUCUCAUACUGGCCCAGCAACUUCUUGAUGCAUUCAUGCAUUAUUCUCUCAGUCAACAUUUUCUUCUUGUACAACUCACCAAUUAGUCUAAUGUUGCCUAGCCAUCGUCUUCGAGCCUUGAUUCUCUUCUCUUCUCUUUCUUCCUCGGUCUGCUUAAUCUCCCCCUCUUUAUCAGCUUUGUUAGCUUCUUCUUGCUCUCUCUCUCCUCUCUCAAAUUCCUCUUGGCAUUUGUUCAGAAGCAGUCUCUUGAAAGUAAUUUUUUCAUUGUCUUCACUGAAAUCAGGUAACUUUCCAGCAAGAAAAUAAAAGAAGUUUGCAUACAUCUCACAGAAAGUAGGCUCCAUUAAAGCUUUGUCAAAAAUUUGAGAGAUCACACCAGCGAGUGUAACAGCAUUGUCGAUGUUUACUGCUUUUACUUGCUCAAAGAAUUUCUUGAAGUUUGGAGCAUUUAGUCUUCCUAUGUCACCACGACAUUCAAUAUGCCAUUUUAAGUUUCUCAUCCUCUUGCUAAGCCGUCUUUUCCCUCUGUUAUCUGAUCUGAUUUCCUGAUAAUAAAAAGCACAGGCAAAUCACACAGUUUAUCCACUAACCCACUAACAGUAAAUGUUUUAUCACUAAAGAAUUCCAAUCAAAUCAUGCAAAUGUAAGUGUCGCUAAUAUAAUGAUUAGUUCAUGGAAGUGUAUAAUCACUACUACAGAAGAGAGAUAACCUUAUCACGUGAAUUUCGAUGUUUCUUGUCAUUCCUCUCAUGAUUAUCAUUCUUGAGUUCAGAUUCAUCGUCAGGCAAUAAAGAAUCCACGAGGUCUUCGCCAAAAUCAUCCACAUCAUCGCCACCUUGACUAUAACCAGGGCCAUUCUCCCUCCUCUUAUCGCGCCCCAAAUGCCUUUCUCGACCUUCUCUACGCAAAUCCAACAAAGACUCUUCAAUGUCUAAGGCUGAUACUGAAUG